UACGGAGGGUGCAAGCGUUAUUCGGAAUUAUUGGGUGUAAAGCGAGUGUAGGCGGCUUGGUUAGUCAGAUGUGAAAGCUCCGGGCUUAACCCGGAAAGUGCAUUUGAAACUGCCAAGCUUGAGUCCCGGAGAGGAAGGUGGAAUUCCCAGUGUAGAGGUGAAAUUCGUAGAUAUUGGGAGGAACACCGGUGGCGAAGGCGACCUUCUGGACGGAGACUGACGCUGAGACUCGAAAGCGUGGGGAGCAAACAGGAUUAGAUACCCGCGUA
Molecule: ribosomal RNA, 269 nt
Filed under: uncultured prokaryote
Description: partial 16S ribosomal RNA
Rfam family: Bacterial small subunit ribosomal RNA
Source: RNAcentral